GAUGAACGCUGGCGGCAUGCCUAAUACAUGCAAGUCGAACGGGAUAUCUUCGGAUAUCCAGUGGCGAACGGGUGAGUAACACGUAGGUAACCUGCCCAUGUGCCCGGGAUAACGCCUGGAAACGGGUGCUAAAACCGGAUAGGUAUCGCUUCUGCAUGGAAGAGAUAUUAAAGGAGCUGCAAGGCUCUGAACAGUGGAUGGACCUGGCGGUGCUAUUAGCGUUGGGUUGGUGGAGGGUAACCGGCCCCACCGAAGGCGACGAUGCAUAGCCGGCCUGAGAGGGU
RNAcentral lists this ribosomal RNA (284 nucleotides) under uncultured bacterium. RNAcentral's name for it is "partial 16S ribosomal RNA". It matches the Rfam family "Bacterial small subunit ribosomal RNA", at positions 28 to 301 of the family's 1533-position model. The record is from RNAcentral.